GAUGAACGCUAGCUACAGGCUUAACACAUGCAAGUCGAGGGGUAACGAGAGGAAAGCUUGCUUUCCUUGUCGACGACCGGCGCACGGGUGAGUAACGCGUAUCCAACCUGCCCCCAACUAGGGAAUAACCUUGCGAAAGUAAGACUAAUACCCUAUAAUUUCCUCAGAUGUCAUCUGACGAGGAAUAAAGAUUUAUCGGUUGUGGAUGGGGAUGCGUCUGAUUAGCUUGUUGGCGGGGUAACGGCCCACCAAGGCAACGAUCGGUAGGGGUUCUGAGAGGAAGGUCCCCCACAUUGGAACUGAGACACGGUCCAAACGCCUACGGGAGGCAGCAGUGGGGAAUAUUGGUCAAUGGGCGGAAGCCUGAACCAGCCAAGUAGCGUGCAGGAUGACGGCCCUAUGGGUUGUAAACUGCUUUUAUACAGGAAUAAAGUUAGCCACGUGUGGUUAUUUGUAGGUACUGUGUGAAUAAGGACCGGCUAAUUCCGUGCCAGCAGCCGCCGUAA
RNAcentral lists this ribosomal RNA (506 nucleotides) under uncultured bacterium. Its description in RNAcentral is "partial 16S ribosomal RNA". It matches the Rfam family "Bacterial small subunit ribosomal RNA", at positions 28 to 523 of the family's 1533-position model. The record is from RNAcentral.